Molecule: small nuclear RNA, 106 nt
Filed under: Nannospalax galili (Upper Galilee mountains blind mole rat)
Lineage: Eukaryota; Metazoa; Chordata; Mammalia; Rodentia; Spalacidae
Source: RNAcentral
GUGCUCACUUCAGCAGCACUUAUACUAAAAUUGGAAGGAUACAGAGAAAAUUAGCAUGGCCCUGUGCAAGGAUGACAUGCAAAUUUGUGAAGUGUUUUAUAUUUUU